CAACCAACCAAUACAUCAACCAACCAAUACAUCAACCAACCAAUACACCAACGAUCCAAUACAUCAAUCAACCAAUCCAUCAAUCAGUCAAUACAUCAACCAGUCAAUACAUCAAUUAGUCACUACAUCAAUCCAUCAACCAAUCAAUACAUCAACCAGUCAAUAAAUCAAUCAAUCCAUAAUCACAGCAUCAGGUAUCAUCAUCUGGCCCCCAGGAGAGUAGUUCUACCUGAGUGGAUAUUGCUGGGUAGUGUUAUAGUAGUAGAGGAUGCUGGGAAGUGGGACAGCAGUAGAGGAUGCUGGGUAUUGUAGAGCUAUAGCAGAAGAGGAUGUUGGGUAGUGUAAUGGUAUAGCAGUAGAGGAUGCUGGAUAGUGGUAUAGCAGUAGAGGAUGCUGGGUAGUGGUAUUGCUGUAGAGGAUGCUGGGUAAAGGUAUAACAGUAGAGGAUGCUGGGUAGUGUAGUGGUAGAGCAGUAGAGGAUGCUGGGUAGUGGUACAGGAGUAGAGGAUUCUGGGUAGUGGUAUAGCAGUAGAGGAUGCUGGGUAGUGGUAUAGGAUUAGAGAAUUCUGGGUAGUGUAGUGGUAGAGCAGUAGAGAAUGCUGGGUAGUGUAGUGGUAUAGCGGUAGAGGAUGCUGGGUAGUGUAGUGGUAGAGCAGUAGAGUUUGCUGGGAAGUGUAGCGGUAUAGCAGUAGAGGAUGCCUGGUAGUGUCGUGGUAUGGCAGUAGAGUUUGCUGGGAAGUGUAGUGGUAUAGCAGUAGAGGAUGCCUGGUAGUGUAGUGGUAUGGCAGUAGAGGUUGCUGGGUAGUGAAGUGCUAUAGUGGUAAGGGAUGUUGGCUAGUGUAGUUGUAUAGCAGUAGAGGAUGCUGGGUAGUGCAGUGGUAUUGCAAUAGAGGAUGCUGGGUAGUCGUAGAGCAGUAGAGGAUGCUUGGUAGUGUAGUGGUAUAGCCGUUGAGGAUGCUGGGUAGUGGUAGAGCAGUAGAGGAUGCUGGGUAGUGUAGAGGUAUAGCAGUAGAGGAUGCUGGGUAGUGUAGUGGUAGAGGAUGCUGGGUAGUGUAGUUGUAUAGCGGUAGAGGAUGCUGGGUAGUGUAGUGGUAUAUCGGUAGAGGAUGCUGGGUAGUGUAGUGGUAUAACGGUAAAGGAUGCUGGGUAGUGUAGUGGUAUAGCAGUAGAGGAUGCUGGGUAGUGUAAUGGUAUAGCAGUAGAGGAUGCUGGGUAGUGUAGUGGUAGAGGAUGCUGGGUAGUGUAAUGGUAUAGCAGUAGAAAAUGCUGGGUAGUGUAGUUCUACCUUAACCAGUAUGUAUGAGUGGAGGAUCAUGAGGUUGGUGUUCAUCUCAGCAGGGAUUCUGAUCUUCUGUGUCUGCAGCUCAGUGUACAUGCUGAACAGCAUGUCAUGGGCGUUUUCUACAUUGUUGAAUAAUAGUGAAGACAUC
This 1430-nucleotide long non-coding RNA is filed under the name Salmo salar (Atlantic salmon). RNAcentral describes it as "lncRNA (ENSSSAG00000087180.1)". The record is from RNAcentral. Lineage: Eukaryota; Metazoa; Chordata; Actinopteri; Salmoniformes; Salmonidae.